AACAUCUUGAUCAUGUAGUUAACUUUGACAUCAUCUUUUUCAUUUCAGACCAAAUUUUCUCAUCCUCUUAUUCUAAAACAACACCACGAAUAAUAAAAAUUACAUGAAUCUGUUAAUCAUCGUAUAUAUAAUCCUAACUAACUUUUGGUUUUUGUUUCUUACCGCUAUGACUUUGAUAUUUUCUAUAUGGCAAGAUAGAAAAAAUCCCUUCUGAUUAUAAGAAUAGCUUAAGAAACACUAACUGUGCUAGCAAUGGCCAAUGCUUGUUAAUCAAAUAGUUCAAUUUUUUAAAUGUUUAACUGUUAUAUGCUCUUUCUCUCUAACUAUCACUAAAAUUUAGGAAGCCUCCGUCCCAGAUAAACUACAAAUACAAUGGUUCACCUGGAUAAACAGAAAAAGAAUCAAGAUUUCUUAUGAACUUUACAUGUUCACAUGAUAUAUGUGACAUAUCCAAAAUUGGACCCAAAAUCUAAUCAAUUAUGAUCAAUAACGUCUAUCGAAUUCUUCGAGGUUUGUCAUAUCACUUGCCAUAAGUUUUGUCCAUACCCAAUAGAAAUUUUGUGAACAAAAUUUUAGUGAUAAUAGUUCACCACUUUAUCCGGUAUACAAGUGGGAAAUGAUUGCCAUUAACUUUUUAUC
This 639-nucleotide small RNA is filed under the name Arabidopsis thaliana (thale cress). RNAcentral's name for it is "ATSL257070". The record is from RNAcentral. Lineage: Eukaryota; Viridiplantae; Streptophyta; Magnoliopsida; Brassicales; Brassicaceae.